AUCUAAUCAGCGAAGGAAUCGAGAUCUUUCUGGAAAACAAUGGAAGGAAACUGGCAGCGAUGGCUACUGCUAGCAUCGUCCACCUCCAACUCCUCUCUGUCGCAGCAGCCUCACCGCCCACUGCCACACCACCUCCACCUCCCCCUCUUCCCCGUCAUCUCCUCUUCUCCUACCCCGUCUCCUGCGACGCCGACAUCGGCAAGUACGCCGCGGGCGCCGUCCGUUGGUCGAGUCCACAACGCCUCUCCUGCGUACUCCUCAGAUUCAGCCGAUCCGCCGCCCACCACGUCUCCCUCCUCACCAUGGUCUCCUCCUCCCUCUAGCCCGUCUUCUCCGAGGACGGCAUCGGCAUGUACGCCGCUGGCGGCGUCUGCGCCUCAAGUUCGUGAGGACUCUUAUGCUUCGUCAUUUGAGGCUCUGAUGCAGGAGACCUGCCGCCCACCACGUCCCCUUCCUCCUCGCCAACCUCUUUUCAUAUGUGAUGGGCAUUCAAAAUUUGUCAUUCCAACUUCCCCCGUCUGGAUGUUGUAUUAGUAAUAGUUGGAGAAGUCUAACUGGAUUAUACUCAUUGUAGAUAGUUGUUUUCUUUAUCUAAUGCCUAUCAUACCGACUCCUACAUUCCUAGAUUAAUUUUAUCUAUCAUGUGACAUGUCUAUAGUUUGAAUGCAUUCUUUAGUAGCCAUGUAUGCCUUAUUUUUCCCACAUAUGUAUCACAUGUCUCAAGAAGAAGAUGAGUACAUCACCUUGGCUGGGACAGGUAUUGCCAGUGCCAUGGAUGCCUUAUUUCCUUAAACCGGUAUUUUCACACAGGCAAAAGGAAGGCCAGUCCAACUCUGUUGCAAAUUUUACAAACAACAUAAUCUACAAAGAAGUUCUCACUGUGCAGUCCAAGGUAUGAACCACUCAACUACAAGUUGGUGGCUGUAGAAAAUCCGGUCUAUCUAACUAGGGCCAGCAAUCUGAAUUUGGUUUCUCUCUACUAUUCUUAAGUUUGUGCGGAGGACUUUCAGAAAAGUAAGUUACAUGCUUUAGCGUCCAUGAUAUUCAGGUCGCACUCCACUUUUUCUUUUGCAGAAACGUGGUUGGUGUCAGAAAGUUACAAGAGGUCCAAUACCAAUUUUUUCUGUAUCCGUUCUAGGGAAAUGAACAAUUUUAUUGCAAUUGUUGUUCUAAGGUUGGAAGUGAAAAUAUGUAUUGGCGAUCACUGUUUGAGCUGGUGCUGUGGGCGAUCUGGUAUGAGCGCAGUCGUUACAUUUUCACAAUCCAGAGUAAUCGGCUUUCUCUCCCGUUUUCCAUGUGUUUUGUAUGGUAUUUAUUCCUCUAUCAAGGAAAUCAACAAUUCUUUUGUUGGAGUUUAAAAUCUCUGUUGGAGCUUAGUUUUUGCCCGGCUUAGAUAUGCAUAUUGUAUGAAUAAACUUCAGAUGAGAGGCAUUCAUAUUGGAGUCAAUUAUUCACGUACAUGCACCAUUUUUUUAACCAACAUGCAACAGUUUGAAGUUCUGCAUACUCUGUUAUGUAUGCAAGUUUUGUAUCAAGUGUUUUUAAUUGUGUUUUACAUAUAAGUUCUCGUCGCCAGAGGCCAGUUAAUAAUGACUGAUCACACUUCUAGUAAUGCAGAUUGCUAUGCUUGAAGAUAAUAUUAUGUGGUUUGAUUAUUAUUUUCUUCAAUUCUUGCAAAGUGGUUUCAAAUGUCACAACAUCGAUUUAUUUGAGCCGUUAUUUAUCUUUAUUUUUUUCUGAUGGGAGGCAUGUUGCAUCAGACAUGGAGAUAUGAUAGAUCCGCGGCAUGGGCAGGCGGUGGAUUAUGAUAUGUGCUAUAACAGAUUGAGCCCAUCAGACUAAGUCGAAGGAUGAGUUAGUAGUCGCUACACUUCCAUUGCACAAAUUCCUGGGGACAAACAUCGAUAUUAUCGCAUUUUAUUCUUCCAUUAUGUGUAUUAAUGUUAGGUUAAAUUGGGGUGCUUGAUGUGUUACCAUUUCUGAUAAAGCUGGUCAGUGUCGUCAUAGUUGUGGAUGGAUUUUCUAUCUAUCGCAUGCUCUCUGUCCCCUCGAUUUAAGAUAGAGUGAGCAAUGAACAGGUCUUCUAGGAAGGUGAAGUUUGAGAAGAAAAUGUAUGGCUUGAAGGACGGGGUUUAUUGGUUGGAAACAUUAUGUUUGAUUGUGCUUAAUGUGUACCUAUCAACGUGUAAGAUCGCUUUGAUGGAUGUAUUGAUACUUUUUAUACUA
This is a long non-coding RNA of Triticum aestivum (bread wheat), 2226 nucleotides long. RefSeq lists it as uncharacterized. Lineage: Eukaryota; Viridiplantae; Streptophyta; Magnoliopsida; Poales; Poaceae. The transcript is spliced from 2 exons. The record is from RefSeq and is a predicted model, not a curated record.